Molecule: ribosomal RNA, 1023 nt
Filed under: Pediococcus pentosaceus
Lineage: Bacteria; Bacillati; Bacillota; Bacilli; Lactobacillales; Lactobacillaceae
Description: bacterial SSU rRNA
Rfam family: Bacterial small subunit ribosomal RNA
Source: RNAcentral
CGUUAAUUGAUAUGACGUACUUGUACUGAUUGAGAUUUAACACGAAGUGAGUGGCGAACGGGUGAGUAACACGUGGGUAACCUGCCCAGAAGUAGGGGAUAACACCUGGAAACAGAUGCUAAUACCGUAUAACAGAGAAAACCGCAUGGUUUUCUUUUAAAAGAUGGCUCUGCUAUCACUUCUGGAUGGACCCGCGGCGUAUAGCUAGUUGGUGAGGUAAAGGCUCACCAAGGCAGUGAUACGUAGCCGACCUGAGAGGGUAAUCGGCCACAUUGGGACUGAGACACGGCCCAGACUCCUACGGGAGGCAGCAGUAGGGAAUCUUCCACAAUGGACGCAAGUCUGAUGGAGCAACGCCGCGUGAGUGAAGAAGGGUUUCGGCUCGUAAAGCUCUGUUGUUAAAGAAGAACGUGGGUAAGAGUAACUGUUUACCCAGUGACGGUAUUUAACCAGAAAGCCACGGCUAACUACGUGCCAGCAGCCGCGGUAAUACGUAGGUGGCAAGCGUUAUCCGGAUUUAUUGGGCGUAAAGCGAGCGCAGGCGGUCUUUUAAGUCUAAUGUGAAAGCCUUCGGCUCAACCGAAGAAGUGCAUUGGAAACUGGGAGACUUGAGUGCAGAAGAGGACAGUGGAACUCCAUGUGUAGCGGUGAAAUGCGUAGAUAUAUGGAAGAACACCAGUGGCGAAGGCGGCUGUCUGGUCUGCAACUGACGCUGAGGCUCGAAAGCAUGGGUAGCGAACAGGAUUAGAUACCCUGGUAGUCCAUGCCGUAAACGAUGAUUACUAAGUGUUGGAGGGUUUCCGCCCUUCAGUGCUGCAGCUAACGCAUUAAGUAAUCCGCCUGGGGAGUACGACCGCAAGGUUGAAACUCAAAAGAAUUGACGGGGGCCCGCACAAGCGGUGGAGCAUGUGGUUUAAUUCGAAGCUACGCGAAGAACCUUACCAGGUCUUGACAUCUUCUGACAGUCUAAGAGAUUAGAGGUUCCCUUCGGGGACAGAAUGACAGGUGGUGCAUGGUGUCGUC